Molecule: long non-coding RNA, 35943 nt
Filed under: Eutrema salsugineum
Lineage: Eukaryota; Viridiplantae; Streptophyta; Magnoliopsida; Brassicales; Brassicaceae
Description: long non-coding RNA (ESAL_LNC000926)
Rfam family: Plant small nucleolar RNA R71 (bases 29768-29874)
Source: RNAcentral
UCUAUUUGGAUCUAGUCUAGGAAAUUCUCACCAAAACACAAGAAAAACUAGUCCGUUAAUCCGUCAUGCGAAAAUCUACACACUUAGAUCUAACUUCCAGUCAAUUAGCUCUUUACAUUCAUGAAGUGUAAUAGUGAAUUCUCAUCAAAGUCAUUAUUCAGGGUAGACGCCAUUUGGCAUUAAGGGCUAUUUAGGUGGUGGAGUUAAGUGUUUCCGGUUAUCUGAAUAAUCUGGAGGAUGCAAGAUAUUAUGCAAAACUGCAUGAGAGAGAUGGACCUGUUGGUGACCACAGAUUUUCAGUCACUUCUCCUUUGCCAAUUGUUGUUGCAUAAUCUUCCUCCUUUGUUGUAAACAGCUGUUCCCCCAGACUUAGAUAUUUUCCGGGAAUUUUAAAGAUGAUCUCCAAAACUCCAAAUAAUCAGAUUCAAGCUUGCCUCAAGUAUAAAAAUUGAUCCUCCUAGACUCUCUAAGGCUUUAAAUUUCCUUUCCCUUCUAUUUUUUUUUUCUUUUCUUUUACGGUUUUUUUGUUUUUUUUUUCAUAAUGAGGAAACAACCUUUUAUAGAAAGUGAGUCUAAGGGACGAAAUUGUACCAAGAUUUUGAAAUUUUUCAAGGCAAACUGAAUUUUCUCCUUUUGUUGAAUUGUUCCAAUGAAAUCGCAGGUCUUCAUCUUCAGUGACUCAAAACCGCGUUGAUCCUCUUUCUCUCUCCGACGUUUUUGCACAUAUCUGCAUAUAGGACAAUGAAAAACAAGAGUGCAUGUGGUUUGAAAGAGGUUAGGUUUGGUGGGGAACUAGCUAAGAUAAACUAGCCAUUCAGGAUCAACAAAGAGUGGUAAAAGGAUAAAAGAGUCCUGAAUGUAUGAUUCGUUUCCCUGAUCUAACGCUUUAAUGAGAAAAUUAAGUCAAAAUUAAGUCCAGAUAAAAUGAGCUAGUAUAUCCUGUCAGAAAGAAUCUCCAUGAAUAGAAGUCCUCUGGUGGGAGUUCGUAAUGCAAGUUUUCUAGCUACUGCCUAGUCUAGAACUAAAUCACAAGAGAGCAAAAAAUGAGGAAAUAGCGUAGAAGCACACUGGUCUAAAUCAUCAUAGUAAUGUUUAUUGUGUUCCUGGUUUAAAAAAUUUCAAGAAAAACUUUUUGAAAACGAUUUUUGAAAAAAUUUAUGAAAAAACUUUUGAAAAAUAUUUUGAAAAACAUUUGGAAAAACCCUUUUUUUAGAAAAAAUUUUAUGUGUCCAAAAUAAACUCAAAACAAAUCGAAUUUCGUUAAUAACGGAUGAACAUCCUCCCCCAAACUUAUUUCACACUGUCUUCAGUGUGAUAAAUCUUGGAAAGAAUGGUAAAGAAAAUUAAAAGUUGAAAUGUUUAAGAGUACUUAUCGUGCUGUAAAAUGCUGCUCGGUUUUUGUGUUUGCUCUUCCUUAGUAAAAACCUGAAAUUAAAUGAAACAGACACAAAGCAAUGGAAAUAUUAAAUAAAGGUCAAAAGGAAAUAAAUAAGAUACCGAGUGGGUUGCCUCCCACUAAGCGUUUGUUUCAAGUCGUUGGCUUGACAUUGUUUUCUCGAUUAGGCUUAUCCGGGGUCAUGAAACUCCUUGAUCUCAUCAUUGGCCGAAGGUGGAUCAAUCAAAAGCAUCACUUCUCUCUCGUCUUCUCUUUCUUCUGCCAGAUAUGGCUUUACACGCUUUCCAUUCACUGUAAAUGAGUUGCCGGUUUUGUCCCAUAUGACAAUGGCUCUGUAUGGUUUGACUUCCUUUAUCGUGAACGGUCCAGACCACCUUGAACGUAAUUUUCCUGGAAAAAGCUUAAGACAAGAAUUGAAAAGAAGAAUUUUAUCGUUAGGAGCAAAAGUUCAAUGAAUAAUCUUCUUAUCAUGAUAUGCUUUAGUCUUCUCUUUGUAGAUCUUCGAGCUUUCGUAAGCAUUGUGUCGGAUUUCUUCUAACUCGUGAAUUUGAAGUAGUCUUCUUUCUCCAGCUGUUUUUGAAUUCAUGUUCAUCUCCUUGAUAACCCAUUGGGCCUUAUACUCGAGUUCUACUGGAAGGUGACAUGCUUUUCCGUAAAUUAGGUUGAAUGGUGUUGUUCCUAAUGGCGUCUUAAAUGCUGUUUGGUACGCCCAAAAUGCAUCGUCAAGCUUGGUAGACCAAUCCUUGCGAUGAACUGCAGUUAUUUUCUGCAAAAUCGACUUGAUUUCUCUAUUUUUGAGAUCUCUACUUGACCACUGGUUUGGGGAUGGUAUAGAGAAGCAACUUUAUGCGUAACUCUAUUAUUUCUAAGAAGAUUCCUGAAAACCUUGUUGAUGAAAUGCGAUCCUCUAUCGCUUAUCACAACUCUAGGAACUACAAAACACGGGAAUAUUACAGACUUAAACAGCUUCAUGACGACUUUUGCAUCAUUGGUAGGACUAGCGACUGCUUCAACUCACUUAGAAACAUAAUUUACUGCUACUAAGAUGUAUUGGUUUCUGAAAGAAGUAGGAAACUGUCCCAUAAAGUCUAUUCCCCAGACAUCAAAAAUUUCGACUUCAAGAAUAAAAUUUUGAGCCAUCUCAUUCCUUUUGCUUAUGUUGCCCAUCCUUUGGCAUUUAUCGCAUCACGAUAUAUAAGCUUGAGUAUCUUUAAACAAAGUAGGCCACCAAAAACCUGCUUGUAAGAUCUUUGAAGCAGUUUUGAAAGUUGUGAAAUGUCCUGCGUAAGACGAGCUAUGGCAUCCAAAUAAAAUUCCUUCCAUCUCUUCUUCAGCCACGCAUCUUCGGAAUAACCCAUCAGCACAACUCUUGUAGAGAUAGGGUUCAUCCCAAAAACAAUGUCUUAUGUCUUUCAGAAACUUUUUCUUCCUAUAACCGAAAAAUUGUGGUGGUUCUACAUCAGCUGCUAGGUAAUUCGCUAUGUGCCUAAACCAUGGGGUGUUGAAAGCAUCUGAUCUUCGCAUGAGUUGCCUUGGUGGUGCGGUAUUGGCAUUGGUGGGGGUAGUAUCUAUUGCAUAGAUGUUUUCUUCCGGCAAACUAUCAUUUAAAGACAAUCUUUCUUCAACUCGGAUUCUUGAAAGAUGGUCUGCAACUCCAUUAUCUGCUCCUUUCCGAUCUCGAAUUUUGAUGUUGAAUUCUUGCAGCAGGAGGAUCCAUCUUAUCAGCCUCGGUUUGGCGUCUUUCUUAGACAUUAGAUACUUGAUUGCAGCAUGAUCAGUAUGUACUAUUACCUUAGAUCCUACGAGAUAAGAACGGAAUUUCUCAAAUGAAGUUACGACAGCUAGAAGUUCUUUCUCUGUUGUUGCAUAAAUGCAUUGAGCUUCAUCUAGAGUUCUGCUUGCGUAGUAGAUUACAUGCAGUUUCUUAUCUUUUCGUUGGCCAAGCACUGCUCCGACUGCAUAGUCACUUGCAUCGCACAUGAUUUUGAAUGGGAGUUCCCAACCAGGUGCUUGCACAACUGAAGCGGAGACAAGAGCUUCUUUUAUCUUAUGAAAUGUGGCUAAGCACUUAUCAUCGAACUCGAAGUUCGUUUCCUUGCAAAGCAAACGCGUAAGAGGUCUAGCUAUUUGAGAGAAAUUUGUUUAUGAAACGCUUAUAGAAUCCUGCGUGUCCUAAGAAACUAUGGAUGCCUUUUACGUUUGUGGGAGAUUGUAGGCUUGUCAUGACUUCGAUUUUUGCUUUGUCAACUUCAAUUCCUUUUCCCGAAAUCCUGUGCCCAAGCACGAUUCCGUCUCGUACCAUGAAGUGACAUUUUUCCCAAUUUAAUACUAAGUUCUUAUCUUCACAUCUUUACAGAACUUUACCAAGGUUGGCUAGGCAUUUUUCAAAAGAAGAUCCAUAGACCGAGAAAUCAUCCAUGAAUAUUUCCAUGAAAUAUUCGAUAAAGUCCGUGAAGAUCGACAUCAUGCACCGUUGGAAGGUAGCAGGUGCAUUACACGAUCUAAAAGGAAUACAUCGGUAAGCGAACAUGCCAUUUGGACAAGUGAAUGUCGUUUUUUCUUGAUCUUCUGGUCGAAUAGGAAUUUGGAAAAAUCUGGAGUAUCCAUCAAGGAAGCAAUAGUAGGAGUGAUUAGCUAACCUUUCUAGCAUUUGAUCUAUGAAGGGAAGUGUAAAAUGAUCUUUCCUAGUUGAUGCGUUCAGUUUCUGGUAAUCGAUGCACAUACGAUGUCCAUUGACUGUUCUUGUAGCGAUCAUUUCAUCUUUAUCGUUUUUAAUGACAGUGACUCCUCCUUUCUUCGGGAAAACAUGAACUCGGCUUACCCAAGUGCUAUCUGAGAUAGAAAAUAUUAUUCCAGCUUCUAAAAGCUUCAUAAUCUCCUUCUUGACAACAUUAAUGAGAUUAGGGUUCAGUCUCCUUUGACCUUCGAUUGAGUUUUUAGCAUUAUUGAUAACACCGUAUUUUCACCACAUUUAUGGAUCGUUUUGAAAUAUUUUUUCUAUGUUUUUACUGCUUUCAAGUACUUUUAUUACGUUUUUCUAGUAUUUGUAGUUCCAAGACUCUUUUCAGGAAACUUAGGGAAAAGCUUAACAAAAUAGAUAGAAGACCAGAUUUUCAGCUCAGAGUCAAACCGUGAGAAGUUCACCCCCGAUUCAAGGCCUUCUCAACGUCAGAUCCAGCUCGAAUUUGGAGAUCUAAAAAAGAUGGAAGUAUCAGCUUUCCAGCACACUUUACAGCUUUGCAAUCCAACGGUUCAAUCAAAAGAUACGCGAAGAGCAAGAUGUCCCGUAAACCAGCCGGCAAGCAUUUCCACCCGUGGCCAACAGCCAUUUCACCACGGUCAGAAGCUUCCCGACCGCGGCCAACCAUCCAUUCCCUGCGGCCACGCACAUCCCGACCGCGGCCAGCCAACUCCGAACUCGAAGGCCCAUUUCUGAAGUCCAAAAUUAUUCCCUUAUUUGGAGAAACCCUAAGUGAAACCCUAGAGAUGUCUUGAGCACUAUAAAUACAUGUUUUUGGAACCCUAAUUCGUAUCACCUCAUAUGCUCUUAUUGUUUUAGAAUACUUUUUGAUUUUUAGCUUUUGGGGAGAGAGAGAUUUGUCUCUUGAACCCUUAUUCUUUCUUUUUCAAUUUCGAUUAUUGCUCUACUUUUUAAUACUAUGUUUUUGAUUUCCUUCAUCAUGUCUGAGUAGUUUAAUUGUUGGGUCUAAGGAUUUUUGAUGGGGAUACAUAUGUUCGAUGAGGAUUCCAUGAGCUAUUGAAGCUAAAUCUUAGAACUUUUUCUUCUGAAUUUACUUUUACUGCAUGAGAGUAGCGUCAUGAACUACAAUCUGAUCCACAUGCUUGGUGACACGAAAGUGUUCAUCCGGUGUCAGAUCUAGUUUGGGAGAACAAAAAAAACAUAGGAGUGGAAACGUACCUAUGGGCGAUUUGUGAAUGCUGACGAGUCUUAAACAUAAUGCAUCUCUUCUCUUCCAGGGCCAGAGUGGAAACCUACUGGUUAGGGUUGAGAAUGAUAGUUGUCUAUGAUCACGACAGUGGUGUAUUCAUACGUCCGUGACUCUAGUUCGAAAAGUUUAAGCUAAGAUCUUAUCAAAUUUACUCUCUAGCAAUGUUUUGAAUCGUUCAUACCCUAGAGAAAACUUCCCUGAAACCCAGCGCCCUCUUUUCUAUAGAUUUACACCGAUUUGAUUUCAAGCUUUAGUUCAUCAUUUUCAUUCUCUUAAUCAAUUUUCACUUAAGCAAUCAGGUUUAUCCAUUUUUCUCGUUUUUAGUCGAUUUUAUUAAGUUUACUUAUCAGGUCAUUUUAAUUCUCGUAUUUUCUCGUUAAGAUUAGUUUUUACGUUUUAAAGACAUCACCAAAACCCUUAUAAAAAUCGCCUGGUUCUAGAAUUCCUUACUUUAUAUUUCUUUCGAAGGCCUUUGCAGGAAAGAUCCUCCUUCCCUGUGGAUUCGAUCUCUAAGUACUACAAUCGAUCAGCUGUGCACUUGUGGCUAUUGAUUUCAUUUAGGGUAAAACUUGACACCCUCACAACAGCAGACACAUCAAGUUUUUGGCACCGUUGCCGGGGAAGGCCCGCGUUUUCUUUUCCACAACACCCUAAGAAAGGUUGGUAAAUCGACUCUAGAACCCUUUUCUGCAUAUUUCCAUUUUUUGGUUCUUUUUGUUUCUAUCCCAGAAGCAAUGGACCCUAUAAAUCGAAAUCCCUACUGUAAGGGAGGUUUUUACAACACUCCUUAAGCCACUAGACGCAGAGAAGAACAUCAAGCCCGAGAUCUUAGCUACAUGGAUCUAUACAGCCAGCCAAAUCAUCCAUACUAGCGGCGCAGAGAGCCUGUUCGACGCCGGGAAGAUCCUUAUGGUCCUCCUCCGACCUAUUUCGAGCCACACGCCUAUCAUCCUCCACUGCAGAACCCUAAUCAGCAUGAGGACAACUUGAGGAUCAGCAGACGUUUGGAACGUCUCGAAGGAAUGAUAAACCAGUUCCUUGAUCAGCAGAUUCUUACCGAAAACACCCUGCUCAAGAGAAUUGAUUCAAUCUUUGAAGAGUUCAACAGAAAAUUUGAUGAUCUGGCCAAUCAUGUUCAAGUUCUGGAAGAACAAACCCACAAAGAUGCACAAACACUAGCUGGGAUGAUCAACAAAGUCGCAGCAGAGUAGACAAGACAAGGGUAUGACAUCAUACAAAACUCAAGUGAUAUUGUCGAAUCGAAGCAGGAGAUCAAAGAAGUUAGAGAAUUCGCAUCCUGGUAUAGAGAGAAGACAGACGAAGAGUUGCAGGAUAUCGAGCACAGGCUGAACAAACUCGAGCUCAAAGCACGGGAGAUUGAUGCAAGAAUGGAACAGAUGCCCAACAUUGAGCCAAUUGUGAGAUUUUCUAAGAAAUCUCCCAAAGAUCCUGGUGAAGAUGCACAACAACACCCCGGUAUGAGUUCAAAUGAUGCUAGUUUACCCAAGAAAGAGGCUGAAGAGGUUCGUACCAAGUACGAGAAAGAGGAAGCAAACUAUGAGCAGUUGACAUUCGGAGCCGCGGGUGCGACCAUUCUGACCGCGGCCAAGGCUCCUUUUCCCGUGGUCGCGAGGCCUCUGACCGCAGGGAUUGGUUCAGAUUCGCCUCCGGGAUUUGAUAGAAAGAUAAUACAUCUUCUGGCCCAACUUCAACCUCCAGCACCUAAAAAAGCAACUCAGGAAGAAAGAAACUAAGUUUCAGAUGAAGAAACGGAUUGGCAGGAAUCAUUACCUUGUAUGAUGGCAAUGGAAUGUGUUGAGGAUUCAGAUGACUCUUCAAUCCAAGAAGACCCGAAAUGCAGCAAGAUAAAUAUGCCAUACAUCGAUUCAAUCAUUGAAUACGACGCUGCAGCUUUCUUUUGUGACUCCUAUUCUGCGUUUGAAACACCAGCCAACGCUUACAGAGAAAGAAAAGUUCGAACUCUCCAUAAGGUCAAGACUGUAGGUCAGUUUCUCAUCUCUUGUUCCAUUAAAGGUGAAAUGUUUAAAGAUGUAUUUUGUGAUUCUGGAGCUUGUCUUAACAUGAUGUCCAAGGCCAUUGCUUCGAGACUUGUUAUUAAGCACCUGCGCAGGACUAGAGCAAAGAUUAUUCUAGCUGAUGAUUCCAAUGCAACACCUCAAGAAUAGCUCAUGACAUUCCUUUGAGAAUUGGAGAUUGCAUCGUGCCUGUCGACUCUACAUUGUCGAAACAAGGGAAGCAGCACAUACAGUGAUUCUCGGAUUGUCUUUUCUAGCAACUUCCUGAGCUAUAAUGGACUGGCAAAACCGAAGGAUUUCAUUUGCUAAUACCGACAAAUAUUUCUUCACAGAAGCUGUCCCAUACAACAGCAAAUCAGGAAAACGUUCUUGAUAUGUUCAUAAUUUGCAUCAUUUAGGUUGCAUAAUUCAUUCUAAAUCAUGUUUUAUUCCAUGCAUUUUAGGUCCUUAGGGUUUGUUUUAGAACUUAGGAGAUGCAGUAGGUCCCAACGAGUCUUUGCAUGUUUUGAGUGUUUAUCAGGUGCAUUUGGAGCUGAAAAGAUGAAUCCAGGAGGUGGAAUGGUGAUCAAAGCUUGAAAAGUGGCAAAAUGGAGUCUUUGGAGGUUAUCGGCCAUUCUCGCUGACCAGGAGGGUUUUUCACGGCCAUUCUCGCGUACCAGGAAAGAUUUUACCGGCCAAAACACGUACCACGGGUAGAUUUCAUCGGCCAAAACGCGUACCGGUUAAAGCAUCUCUCGGCCAAAAUCUCCGGGUGCAGACACGUUUCCGAAAUCGCCUGUCCGGGGAGCUUUUCGGUCCGAUUCAGAUGGCGGGUGCUUCAUAGAAGUUGGAGAGGAUUGGAGCACGGUUUCCUAGCAAGUGGAAUCACGGAAUUCGGACGCGGGAGCAGAGAGUUAAGCUCGUCAGAAGAAACCCUUGUCUCGCUGCUGUUUUGGACCAAGCCGAUGAGCUCUGAAGAAUGCGAAGGACGGUGUACUUCCAGGCCGAUUCAGUUUCCGGGGCCUUCAUGAGAAUCCGAGAAAAUUGAGUCUUCUAUCGAGAACGUCUGAGAUCAUUCAAUUCGGAGCAACGAGCAGGAAGAUACGGUCUCCGGAAUGGACACAUGUCUAGACGCCACUCUCUGUUCGUGUAAAUUCACUGCAAAGAUGUGCCCUCCAGGAAGCCUUCCACUUCCCAAGCACCGAAUCUUCCUUCACCGAAGUUGGGGAUAAAUGAGUCCUCUGUCUUCUACAACCGGAAUCACUCAAUUCCGACAAGUUUCGUGGAAGUUACACUCUCCGGAAUGAGAAGUGGUCCAAGCUGCUCUGAAUGCUGCGAGAUGGUCUUGCGACUUGGUUAACCCGCAGGCCUGAAGAUGAAUGCCUGAAAGCUGAUGCUGCGAGUUGAGAAUUGCGGGUAAGCUAUCACUGGAUGAGGUCUGAGGCUCCCGAGCAAGAAAAUUGCUAAGUCCACAAUCGUGCGACUUAGGCAUGCGAGUUGGCCGCGCCUGAAACCAAGCCGCACGAUCACUCGCAAUUUACUCCGACUUGAGCCUGCGACCUGAGUACAAUGGAAACCAAACCGCAGAGUUUGUACACUCCCCAGAAACCGCCUUGAUCCUGCGAGUUGAAGAAGAAGAAGAUUAAGCCGCAGCAAAACUCGCAAAUCACUCCUACUUGGGCAUGCAGCUUAGACAAGACGAUUUAAGCCUCACAAGACAGGUUCUUCAUCUACUGCGACUUGGGCGUGCUACCUGGGACAUACUGGACAUACCCGCAGUAAUUCCCACUUUAUCCAUUAAAGCCGGGUCAGGACCCGGUUUGUUCCGGGCUGACCCGGUUCGUUUUUAGAAAGAUAUAAAUACUUUUUAGGGUUUUUUUGGGAGAGAACUAAGCUUUAUUCCCUUUGUAUCUUGCCUCUUUUGUGAAAAAGACUCCACCAAGAAGAGAAAUAUCGAUUUUUGGCCCUUUAAUCAAGAGAGUUUAAGAGAUUUUUGUGUUUAAAGCUGCUUUCUUCUUAAUCUAUCAUCUCCAUCUCCAUUUCUCAUCAUUAAUCAUGCUAAUCUUCUCAACUUGCAAAGGUUUAAGAGAGAUUAGUAUGAUUAGUGAGUAGUCACCUUAAUGAGGUUCUAGAUGUGUAGGUUAGGGUGCUAAAGUGUUAGAUUAGGAGUGCUUAGGGCUAGAUUCAUUGAUUCAUCUCUCUAAACAGCUGUUCUCUAUGCUAGAUCCUUGCACAUCACUUGAGAUCUAGAUUCUGGGAAUUUCAUGCACCAAAAGUGUUUGAUGAAAUUCCUGAAAGAGCUGUAUUAGAGGUUUAAGCAUUUCCUGCAUGAUGAUGUAUUGUUAAUUGCUUGAAUGAUCAUUAAGAACUGUUUAUUGAUGCAUAUUGAUUCAUAUUUCACAAAUGGGAAUUUGGUUUGAAAAUGGAUUAGUAUAGGGGUUGAUACCUUCAUGAGAGGAUCAACCUAGAUUAGAGUUCUUAAUCAUUUGAAUCAUGUAUCAUCAUUGUCAUUAGCAUUUCUAGUUUAGCACCAAGGCACCCUAACCAACUAUCAUGUCUAGAAACUCAUGCCUCCAUCAUAUCAUAUUCCCAUCAUUUGUCAUUGUUUAGUUCUAGUUUAAUCAUUUCAUUAGUCUUUAAUCCUGUUUAAGUUUGUGGUUGUCUUUAGAUAAUCAAAACCACUCUUGUUUGCUUGAAUUAAGAACUUGAUCACAUAGUUUAGUGUCUAACACCACAUCUGGAUUGAUAAACCUCUUUGUGCUACUUUGACAAGGGGAUUGAUAACCUCUAUAAAGAGCCUUGAAAACUCUUAGUUAUCAAUUGGCGCCGUUGCCAAAUUGUGGUUUGUUUAGCAUUAAGCUCUGAUCUGUUCUUGAGAUCAAGUGCUUAUUACUGAUUACUUUCAAGUUCUGUUUGUGAUUUCAGGUGUAUGAACACCAGGUCUAGAUCAAGAAGCUGUGGUCCACCUUUCCCUCUCAACGACAACAUCAACCUUUUGGUACCAAGGAGGAGAAGGGACAGACGUGGUAGACAGAUUGAUCAGGCUGAGAUGGCAGAACAAGGAGAACACGUGGUAGACAUAGAACAACCAGUUCAUGAGCAACAGGCUCAGGGUAAUGGAGCUGGUAAUGGAGUUGGUCAAGGGCUUCAUCAGGGUAAUGUUCAUCAGGAACAGAUGCACCAUCAACAAGCUUAUGUCCACCAGGGACAAGCUCAAGCUCAUCAACAGAGGCAUCAGGCCAAUGUUCAGCAAAGACAACAAGUGCACCACCAACCCCAGCCCUUCCAACACCAACAAAGAAGAUAUGACCAACCCCAAGUCUAUGUUGGAGAGAAUGACAGGGCAAAUUCUCAUCAGUAUGGAGCUGGUAUUCAGGCACCACCUGUGCAAAACAACAACUUUGAAGUGAAGGCAUCAUUGCUGAAUAUGGUCCAGAACUAAAAGUUCCAUGGGUUAGCAAUGGAAGAUCCCUUGGAACACUUGGACCAGUUUGAUAAGGUGUGUGAUCUGACAAAAAUUAAUGGAGUUUCUGAGGACAGCUUCAAGCUAAGACUAUUCACAUUCAGUCUUGGUGACAAAGCUCAUCAAUGGGAGAAGAAUCUUCCAAGGGGCUCCAUUCAAACCGGGGAGCAAUGCAAGCAUGCUUUUCAAUCUAAGUUCUUCUCCACCUCAAGAACUGCAAAACUGAGGAACCAAAUCUCUAGCUUCACUCAACACAGCAAUGAGAAUUUUGGUGAAGCCUAUGAGAGAUUCAGGAGCUACACAAACCAAUGCCCACACCAUGGGUUUAGUGAGGCUUCUCUUCUCAGCAAACUUUAUAGAGGAGCUCUUCCCAUGAUUAGAAACCAGCUGGAUACUGCUUCCAAUGGGAACUUUCUGGGUAAAGAGAUACAUGCUGCUUUAGAGCUAGUGGAGAACUUAGCAUUGAGCAAUGAUACUUAUGGUGAAGACUAUGACAGAUCAAAUAGGUCUGAAGGUUCAAGCUCAGAACAGAGGCUCACUAGGGAAGUUAAGGAGUUGAGAAAUGAAUUAGACAAGUUGAAGUUGGUAACUCACAAGCCAAUGCAUUUUGUUGGAGAGUAUGAGGAACCAUCUCAAAUCUUUGAGAACAUAAGUGAAGAGGGUCUCACCCAAGAGGAACUUAACUACAUUGGGAAUCAGAGGUUCCAGAGAUAUCCGUAUGGUAAUGCCAAUCCAAACCUUUCUUACAGGAACACCAAUGUAGCUAACCCACAAGACCAGGUGUAUCCCAAUUCUCAAGCUCCACAGAACUUUGUUCCCAAGAACAACUUUCAAGGAUCUUUUCAACCAAAGAAUCAGUUUGCUCAGAAUCAAGGUUUUGGUCAGCAACAGCAACCAUUUCAGGGUCCUAGUUUCAGUUCACAGCAGCAAAAGGCACCACCAGGGUUUGGUCCACCACAGUUCCAACAGCAAGCGCCUGUUCAACAACAAUAACAGCCACCAACGGUUCAACAACAGCCACAGAUGGGUACAGAUAUGGUUGGUAUUCUGCAACAACUACUUCAGGGUCAACAGAUUUUUGCAAGCCAGAACCCAGCUAUGCAGCAGGAAAUCAAGGAACUGAAGCAAAACCAGGCAUCAAGCUCACGGAACCAAGGUCACCUACCUGGAAAACCAGAACCCAACCCCAAGGAAUAUGCCAAGGCAAUUACACUGAGGAAUGGAAAAGAGUUGCCUGGUAUUGAGAACAACAAUGUGAUCAUUGGGGACAAUGAUCAAACUAAGGCGGAGGCAGCCUUAAAAGAGGAUCAAGUUGCUGAGAAACUAAGGACAGAAAAGGGUAAAGAGGUAGCAAAGGAACCAGAACCAGAAAAAGAAUAUGUGCCACCACCUCCAUACCAACCCAAGCUCCCAUUUCCAGGGAGAUUCAAGAAGCAACUAGUGGACAAGGCAAGAGCUGUAUUUGAGAAGGCACUCAAGGAGACACCACUCACAAUGCCUCUCAUUGAUGCAUUCUUAAUGAUGCCAAAGAUGGGGAAGUUCUUGAAGGAUGCCAUUCUGAACAAGACAAAAGAGCUUCAAGGCAUGGUAGUACUAAGUCAUGAAUGCAGUGCUAUCAUUCAGAAGAAGUCCAUUCCAAGGAAGUUAACUGAUCCAGGGAGCUUCACACUCCCUUGUGCCAUUGGACCUCUUCUAUUCUCUGGAUGUCUUUGUGAUCUAGGAGCAUCAGUCAGCUUGAUGCCAUUCUCCAUAGCAAAGAAGCUGGGCUUUAGAGUCUUCAAACCUGCAAGGAUUUCUCUUAUCCUUGCAGAUAGAUCAGUUAGAUUGCCUGUUGGUAUGUUGGAAGAUCUACCUGUUAAGAUUGGUGGUUUUGAGGUUCCAACAGAUUUUGUUGUUCUGGAAAUGGAUGAGGAACCAGUAGAUCCUCUUAUCUUGGGCAGGCCAUUCUUAGCAACUGCAGGAGCUAUUAUUGAUGUGAGAGGUGGGAUAAUAGAGCUUCAACUUGGGUCUGAAAAGCUCAAGUUUGAUGUGAAUGAGAUGAUGAAGAAACCCACCAUUGAAGGUCAAUGUUUCUAUGUGGAGACAAUGGAUCAGUUGGCUGAUGAGUUGCUUGAGGAGCUGAACACUGAGGAUCCUCUUCAAACUGCUCUAACUCAAGAACAAGGAGACAAUGGGCUCUUAGCUGAAGCAAGUGAAGGGUAUAAGCUGUAUCUGGACAAUGCAAGAGAACUGGGUCCUGAGACAAGGUUUUUGGAGCUGGAACAAAGUGGUUCUGAGGUCUUUGCAAUCAAAGGAUCAGACACCAGCCAAAGCAGCUUGGACCAGGAUUGGAAUGAGGCUGAUGCACCCCCUGUUGAGCUCAAGCCUCUACCAACAGGGCUCAGGUAUGCUUUCUUGGGCUUAAACUCCACAUAUCCUGUCAUCAUCAAUGAUAGCCUAUUAGAGGAUCAAGAGAGUGCAUUGCUUAAUGAAAUAAGAAAGUUCAGGAGAGCCAUAGGAUAUUCUUUGGCUGAUAUUAGAGGGAUCUCUCCUGACAUUUGCACCCACAGGAUCCACCUAGAGGACCAAUCUAUGUCCUCUAUUGAGCAUCAACGAAGACUUAACCCCAACCUUAGGGAAGUGGUUAAGAAGGAGAUACUAAAAAUUUUUGAGGCAGGGAUAAUUUACCCAAUCUCUGACUCAAGAUGGGUGUCUCCUGUUCAUGUUGUGCCCAAGAAAGGUGGGAUCACGGUGGUUAAAAACGAUAAGGAUGAACUCAUAGCUCAAAGAACCAUAACUGGCCAUCGCAUGUGCAUUGACUAUAGGAAAUUGAAUUCUGCUUCUAGAAAAGACCAUUUCCCUUUACCAUUCAUUGAUCAAAUGCUUGAAAGGCGAGCUAAUCAUCCUUAUUAUUGUUUUCUCGAUGGGUACUCUGGAUUUUUUCAAAUUCCCAUAGAUCCAAGAGACCAAGAGAAAACCACAUUCACUUGCCCUUAUGGCACUUAUGCUUAUAGGAGAAUGCCUUUCGGUUUAUGUAAUGCACUGGCCACUUUUCAAAGAUGUAUGAUGCACAUUUUCUCUCACAUUAUUGAAGAGAAAGUUGAGGUGUUCAUGGAUGACUUUAGUGUCUAUGGCUCCUCCUUCUCGGAUUGUCUCUCAAAUUUGUCACAGGUUUUGGAGAGAUGUGAGCAGCAUAACUUGGUGUUAAACUGGGAGAAAUGCCACUUCAUGGUGCAGGAAGGAAUAGUUCUUGGACACUAGAUAUCUGAGAAGGGCAUAGAGGUUGAUAGGGCAAAUGUGGAAGUGAUGGUGAAUCUGCAACUCCCACUUCAGUUAAAGGGAUAAGGAGUUUCCUUGGGCAUGCAGGGUUUUAUAGAAGAUUCAUAAAGGACUUCUCAAGAAUUGCCAGGCCCUUGACAAGACUGUUGUGUAAAGAAGUGGAUUUCAUCUUUGAUGCUGAAUGUGAGGAGGCCUUCAAGUUGAUCAAGGAGGCAUUGGUUAGUGCACCAAUAGUUCAGGCACCAGACUGGUCCCUUCCUUUUGAGGUCAUGACAGAUGCAUCUGAUUUUCUGUUGGAGCAGUGCUUGGGCAAAAGAAAGACAAGAAGCUGCAUGUGAUCUACUAUGCCAGUAGAACACUUGACUCUGCACAAGAGAAGUAUGCUACAACUGAAAAGGAAAUGCUGGCAAUAGUUUUUGCCUUUGAUAAGUUCAGAAGCUACCUGGUGGGAUCAAAAGUCAUAGUAUAUACUGAUCAUGCAGCCCUCAGGUAUUUGAUGACCAAGAAAGAUGCCAAGCCAAGGCUGUUAAGAUGGGUUUUAUUGCUCCAAGAGUUUGAUAUGGAAGUGCUUGAUAAAAAGGGCAUUGAGAAUGGGGCUGCAGACCAUCUCUCAAGGCUGAGGAUUGAAGAAAAGGUCCCCAUAGAUGAUGCUUUGCCUGAAGAGUCUCUGAUGGUGCUCCAUUCCUACUUGGAGUUUGAGGAAGUAGAGAGCAUUCAAGAAAGGAGGAUGCCUUGGUUUGCAGACAUAGUGAAUUAUCUUGCAUGUGGGGUGGAGCCUCCUGAAUUAGAUGCUUACAAGAGGAAGAAGUUCUUCAGAGAUGUCCAGAGAUACCAUUGGGAUGAGCCCUACCUCUAUGUUCUGAACAAGGAUCAGCUGUAUAGAAGGUGUCUUGCUGAAGAGGAGAUGCAACCUGUGUUGCAAGAAUGUCAUGGUUCUGCUUUUGGAGGUCACAUGGGUCAAGACUGUGGAAAAGGUUCUUCAGAGUGGGUUUUGGUGGCCUACAAUGUUCAAAGAUGCUCAGUUGGUGGUUUCAGCAUGUGAUGUCUGUCAGAGGCAUGGGAACAUAUCAAAGAGGAGUGAGAUGCCUCAAAACCCCAUUCUAGAAGUUGAGAUCUUUGAUUGUUGGGGGAUUGACUUCAUGGGACCCUUCAUUUCAUCCUAUGGGAAUCAGUAUAUACUUGUUGCUGUGGCCUAUGUGUCCAAAUGGGUUGAGGCCAUUGCUUCCCCUACCAAUGAUUCCAAGGUUGUAGUGAAGCUGUUCAAGAGCACUAUCUUUCCAAGGUUUGGAGUUCCAAGGGUUGUCAUCUCUGAUGGAGGAUCUCAUUUUGUGAACAAGACUUUGGAGGGUUUGCUGAGAAAGCAUGGAGUGAAACACAAGAUAGCUACUCCAUAUCAUCCUCAAACUAGUGGCCAGGUGGAGGUAUCUAAUAGACAGAUCAAAGCCAUUCUUGAGAGAACUGUUAGCUCAAGCAGAAAAGAUUGGAGCGAAAGGCUAGAUGAUGCAUUGUGGGCUUAUGGGACUGCCUUUAAAACUCCAAUUGGGACAUCACCUUUCAGUCUGCUAUAUGGGAAGAGCUGCCACCUUCCUGUUGAGUUGGAAUACAAGGCUAUGUGGGCUGUGAAGUUGCUGAACUUUGAUAUCAAGACAGCUCAAGAGAAAAGAGUCAUGCAACUCCAUGAGCUUGAGGAGAUUAGGCUUGAGGCUUUUGAGAGCUCUAAGAUCUAUAAGGAGAAGACCAAAGCUUUGCAUGAUCAAAAGAUUCUGAAAAGGGAGUUCAAGGAUGGUGAUUUGGUGUUGCUGUUCAACUCUAGACUUAAGUUGUUUCCAGGAAAACUUAAGUCUAGAUUGUCUGGACCCUUUAAGGUUCUUGAAGUCAGGCCAUAUGGAGCUGUUGUCUUGGAAGGAAAGAAUGGUCAAGAGUUUGUGGUGAAUGGACAACGGAUUAAGCAUUAUCUGGUUUCACAAAAGAAGGAGGAAGCUACAUCAGUUCCCCUUCUUGAUCCACCACCAGCCUGUUAAACAGGUUUCCAAAGUCAAACUUAGAGACUUUAAACAAAGUGCUCUUGGGAGACACCCCAAGCUUAUCUUUGUACAUAGUCCUUUUGAUUUCUUCUCUUUUCUUUUAUGUUUUAGAACUUUUUGAUGGGUUUUGUGAGUUGGUCUCAGGUUCUAGGUGAUUUUUGGAGACAUAGCUCAUUGAUGAAUGGAAUGGAGCAUGUGAGAGGGCUGGGGGAAGUGUUUAAGGACUGAAAAACUUGGAGAACGCCUCAGUGCUACCUAGGUGUGCGGUCUGGAUCAGGAAGAGCCCAGGCCGCAGCAGGACUCGCAAUUUACUCCGGCUGGGCGUGCUACCUAGUAAAAGGAGUCCAAGCCGCAUAAAGAAGAAGAACAGGCCAAGAGUUCUAAGUCCCAAACUCUGCUACCUGGUGCUGCGGCCUAGAAACAAUAGAAGCCAACCCACACACCCAUCCGCAAAACACUCCGGCUUAGGCGUGCUACCUGGAAGCACGAAGACUAGGCCGCACCAAACAGAAGGAGUCCAAAACGUCUAAGUCCUAAACUGUGCUAGCUGGUGCUGCGGGUAAGAAGAGAGGAGUCCAGGCCGCAUGAAGACUCUCAAAUUACUCCGAGAUGGUCGUGCUACCUGGGAAACAUGAAGACUAGUUCGCAGCAAUGGAAAAGUGGCCAAGGAGUUUAAGUGACAAAAGCUGCGGCUUAGGUGUGCUAGCUAGGAAAAAGGAGCCCAGGUCGCAGCACAAGAGGGAUGGCUGAGUUGUCUAAGUCCAGAAACCUGCGGGCUGGUCGUGCUACCUGGAAACAAAGGAACCUAACUCGCAGCCCAACUCUCAAUUUACUCCAAGUUGGUCGUGCUACCUGGUGAAAGAGGUCCAAGCCGCAGCAAAAGAGGAACGGCCAGAAUGUCUAAGUAACAAACCCUGCGGCUUAAGUGUGCUACCUGGAAACAAAGGAACCUAACUCGCAGCCCAACUCUCAAUUUACUCCAAGUUGGUCGUGCUACCUGGGAAAAUUAGUCCAAACCGCAGCAAAAGAAGAGUGCCCAAGCUGCCUAAGUCACAAAACCUGCGGGAUGGUUGUGCUACCUGGGAACAAAGAAGACCAACCCGCACAUCCAUUCGGAAUUUACUUCGAGUUGGUCGUGCUAGCUGGAAAACAUGAAGAAAAGGUCGCAGCAGGAAAAGAAAGGCCUGAGUUGUCUAAGUCAUAAAAGCUACGGGAUGGUUGUGCUACCUAGAAACAAGAGGAACCAAACCGCACAUCCAUUCGCAAAUUACUCCGACUUGGUCGUGCUAGCUGGUUGCAAUGGGUUCCAGGUAGCAGCAAUGAGAAAAAAUAAAACCAGGCUGAAGGAUCUUUACUGCGGGUUGGUCAGGGUUAGAAAGAGAAUGACCAGGUAGCACAAAAAUAUUUCCGGUUCUGCACCAAGACGGUCAUACGGCUCGAUCCCGACGGUUCCCGGACGCACAAAAGAGAGAAAGGAGGCCAGUCAAUGAGAAAAGGACGGGUCAAAGCCUUGACUGGUCAAAACAGAUCUAUUGACCACCAGUCCAAAGGCUUGACCCUGUCCCACACUCCCUCUUCCCCACAACAAACCCGAGUUUGCAACUAUUUCUCUCAUUUCUCUCCAUUGUUUUCACCAUAUCUCUCUCAUUUCUCCAACAAAUUUGUUGAUUCAAAGUGCUCUGAGCUCGUUUUUGAGUUGUUAACAUCAUCCUGAUUGCAUUUCGAACUCGUUUCAUCUUAAUCCCAAGGUAUUUCAUCCUGUUAAAAUUCACCUUUUUUCCAUGUUCUUCAAUGGUGAUUUCUGAGCAUUCAAAGUGUGGAAUCGAUUUUGAUAGGUUGUUUUAGACCUUGGGAUUAUUUUUAUAAAUUCUAGGGUGCUAGAUAGUCUUGGAAAACAGAGCACUUUGUUGGUAAUUCCUUGUUCUUGAGUUUUGAAAAUUGUUGCAAGUAAUUCAUGAAAAAAAAAAUCGAAUUUUUUUAAAAAAAAGGAGAUGAAUUGGUUUCUUGCUGAGUCUUUGCUUUGCACUCUUGUUUUUGCAUUGCUAUGAACUUAUUGGAUUGAUACUUGGCUUGAGAAACCUGUUCAUGUGGUUUUAAAAUCGAUUCUUGCAACAAAUGUUUUUCAAAAUUUUGAAGAAUUUUGUGAAGCUUGUUCUUGUACUAACAUUGUUUUUGAGAAUCUCUUGGCAGAUGACUGAAAGAACCAACUCUCUGGCCAAGAAGAAGGGCAAUGCAUCAAAGGGCAAAGGUUUGGUCUCAGGGUCUUCAAAUCCAAGAGAAAAAAGUCAAGGUGCAAAGAAUACCACAAAGCAAGGGAAGUGUGAUCCAGCGCCAAAAAGGACAAGGCCUGAAGGAAAAGCUUUGGUGGUUGCUUCUGGUUCCAAGAAGAAGGGGAAACAGUUGGCUGUGGUAUCUGAGACUGAACAGACUGAAAGUGACUCAAGCAGCUCAGCUGGUGGUUCCCAAGGCACCAUUGAAGAGGGAUCAAAGAAGUUCAAGACAACUGAACCAGAAACACUUGAUUAUCUGGCUAAGUUUCAACAGAUAGAGAUCCAGAAAGGGAGAUUCCCUGAUUUGGACUUUCUGAAGAAGAUUGGCAUCUAUGAAGAUGUCAAGACUUUGCUUGGGAACAUGGGUGUUGAGUCACUUUUGGAGAUGAGAGAGAUCGCUUAUGAACAAGAGUCACAAGAAUUCUUGGCGUCCUUUGAAGCUUUCAUUUACUACCCAAGGGAUUCAAGAAUUAUUCAAGGAGAUGGGCUUGGACAUGUGGAGUUUACUGUGAAAGGGAAGGAGUAUUCAGUGUCAUUCAGAGAAUUGAAUGAGAUUUUUGGGUUUUCAUCACCUAGAAAUGAACUUCUCUCAAAGCAGGUCAAUCUCAGAAAAGAUGAGAUCCAACUUCUAUGGAGAUCAAUUGCUUCUGGGAAGUACACAGCUGGAACAGCUAAGUCCUCUUGGAUAAGGAAUUCAGUCCUGAGAUAUGUACACAAGAUUCUCUCUCACAGCUUCUACUUCAAGAUUGAUGUUGGAAGAGUUCACAAAGGAGAUCUUAUGCUUCUUGGUGUAGGGCUGAGACCGCUGAUGCCAACACAUGAAGAUGGGGAACCCUAUGAAGGGUAUGAAUACCCACUUUGCCUUGCAUCUCAAUUAGCAAGGUCUUUGAUGUUCUACAAAAAGUGCAUGUGGGGUUCUACAAAGCAAGAUGCAAAGCUGGCCCAUGGAUGGGUGGUAACAAAGAUCUUGAAAGCCAUGGGGUACAGAUUCAAGGAGAACAAGGAAAAGUUUGAUCUGAUUAAUGAAGCACAUUUGUGUAAGAUUGGCUUCCUCCAGGGAAGAGUGGGUACCAAGGUAGUAUACAACUUCAAGACACUCAUCAGUGAGCCAGCCCAAGUUCUCCUGCCCAAUCCCUCCAUAACCACAGUCCAAGUUAAGAGGAACAUUCACUUCUUCUUGCUGAAGGAAGAGCUGUACAAUGUCCAAACUGAUCUACCAAUCCUCAUAUACAAGCAAGCUUGCAGAGAAGAAGCCUCCAGGGGAAAGAAAGCAACCGCUGAAGAUGCUACCACAAGUGCAGCUGGUGCUCAAGAUGCUGAUCUGCCUCCACCUCAAAAACGUUUUGGUGGCAACAGAUACCACUUUGAUGAUUACAACUGGGAGGAACCAGGCACUUCAGGGUUCAGAGCUCAACAGAAGAUUGGUAUUCUCCAACAAUGGUGCAAGUACCAAGACAAAACCAUCCACAAGAUGGCCAAAUGCAUCAAGGAGAUGAAGAAGAGGAUCAAGAAGCUUGAAAACCCUUGCAAAGGUGGGGCUCCAGCACCGGUUUCACCAAGGAACAGAGAGGAAGUUGGAGAGAGUUCCAUGAACUGCACAGCCCUGGUCACAUAUGGAACCACUAGGGUAGAUCUUGACGACGGGUCUGAUGAAGCCAGCCAUCAUUCUUGGGAGACACCAUCCGGCAACACUUCAAACCCCUCCUACUCAUUGGGGUCUGACUUCAACAGCCACUAGGUAACACUCAAAACCAUGUAAAUAGCAUGUAGUUUUCUUUUUUUUCUUUUGCAUUUCACUUGUUUACUUUGUUUUCACUUGUUUACUUUGUUUUCACUCCUUUCUCAUACUUUUAUAACACAAGGGAAUGUGUUAUUUAAGUGUGGGGGAGGAGUUUCAUCCUUCACUGAUCAUGUUUUCUCUUUUCUUAUUUUACACUUUGAGUCUUGAGUCACAUUUUAGUUGCAUAUUCAUGUAGUCUCAUCUAAGUGCAUAUAAAAAUCAAAAAAAUGGAAAAAUCUGAAAAAGUUUCACAAAAAAAAAUUGAUCAUGUAGCUGCAUUCUCAUUUUUAGGAUUGAGUCUAGAUUGCAUAUGCAUGUAGGUUGCAUCUUGCAGGGAGUAAUGAUAGGUUUUCUAGAGAGUACAUCACUUUGAGAACUUGAACUGAAUAUGCUUGUGAAUCUUUUUCUGUGCUUGCAAAGUCUGAAAUGAUCUGAAUCUGAGAAGCAAGUUUGAAUUGAACUCAACUCUAAUUAAGUGAAAACCCUGAACUUGACUUGAAAUUAUCAUUUGGUGCAUUGUUUGAAUAAGCUUGUGGAUACCAAUAUACAUAUUUGAGCUAGAACCCUGUUUUUACCAUCCUCUUCCUUAGCUCAAAUAGCUGAAUCUGCAUAAUAGAUCAGUUUUCCUCACCCUGAACCCAUCCUUCUUUCAAGCCAAUUGUUUGUGUGUGAUUGAGAGGCCACCUUGGACCAGACUUAGCAGAAAGUGUUAGGUUUAGGGCGACAAGGGCAAGUCUCAUUGAGUGCUAAGUUCCAUAAUCAAGGAGCUGAGAGAUUUGGCAAGAACUAAGUGUGGGGGAAUACAUGUUGGUGAGUGGAAAAAGGAGAGAUGAGUGGAAAUAAAAGAAGAAUGGUGAGAACUAGGGGAUAGAAAAAGAAUUCAGUCUUGGAAUUUUGAGUCAAAAGAAGUGAGCUCUAGUGUUUUGAAAAGAAAGAGUCUAGCCUCUAAGAGAAAAGAAAAGAAGCCAAGGAGCUCAAAUGUUUUAAAAAGAAAGAAAAAAAGAGGUUAGAGGUUACAAAAGAAAGUGAUGAAGAGCUAUGGAAAGUUUGAACUCCAAGACUUGUGUAUGAAAAAGAAAAGAGAGUCCCCUAGUGAGAGAAGAAUGAGUGUGAAAAGUAAGCAAGUGAGAAAACUUUGAGUAGAGUGUGGGGUGGAAUGAGUCUUUGCCCUUGUAUGCAUAGGUUGCCUUUUACCUUUAGCAUUCUGCCAAAGUUUGGUCAUUCAUAGAGAGAUCCUUUUGCUGCAUUGAACCCACUCAGGCAUUGAUGAGAUCAUCUUAAUCUCAUAACCUCACCCUAGCCAAACUAUGUUUUUUUAAACAAUGCAUCAUUUGAUCCACUUGGUAAAAAGCUUAAUGAAUGUGAAAGAGUUGAGAGAGAGAAGAACUUGUGGAGAUUCCUUGUUGAGUUGAUAUAUAUCUGAGUAUGGCUUUGCAUUGCAUAAUUGAGCAUGAACUUGAAUUCUCAUUGUGAUCACUUCUCUCAAAAAGGAAAUGUGAACUCCCAUGCAUUCAACCUCUUUCUCUCAUUUGUUCUUGUUUGCUUGAGGACAAGCAAACGACAAGUGUGGGGGAGUUGAUAUGUUCAUAAUUUGCAUCAUUUAGGUUGCAUAAUUCAUUCUAAAUCAUGUUUUAUUCCAUGCAUUUUAGGUCCUUAGGGUUUGUUUUAGAACUUAGGAGAUGCAGUAGGUCCCAACAAGUCUUUGCAUGUUUUGAGUGUUUAUCAGGUGCAUUUGGAGCUGAAAAGAUGAAUCCAGGAGGUGGAAUGGUGAUCAAAGCUUGAAAAGUGGCAAAAUGGAGUCUUUGGAGGUUAUCGGCCAUUCUCGCUGACCAGGAGGGUUUUUCACGACCAUUCUCGCGUACCAGGAAAGAUUUUACCGGCCAAAACACGUACCACGGGUAGAUUUCAUCGGCCAAAACGCGUACCGGUUAAAGCAUCUCUCGGCCAAAAUCUCCAGGUGCAGACACGUUUCCGAAAUCGCCUGUCCGGGGAGCUUUUCGGUCCGAUUCAGAUGGCGGGUGCUUCAUAGAAGUUGGAGAGGAUUGGAGCACGGUUUCCUAGCAAGUGGAAUCACGGAAUUCGGACGCGUGAGCAGAGAGUUAAGCUCGUCGGAAGAAACCCUUGUCUCGCUGCUGUUUUGGACCAAGCCGAUGAGCUCUGAAGAAUGCGAAGGACGGUGUACUUCCAGGCCGAUUCAGUUUCCGGGGCCUUCAUGCGAAUCCGAGACGAUUGAGUCUUCUUUCCAGAACGUCCGAGAUCAUUCAAUUCGGAGCAACGAGCAGGAAGAUACGGUCUCCGGAAUGGACACAUGUCUAGACGCCUCUCUCUGUUCGUGUAAAUGCACUGCAAAGAUGUGCCCUCCAGGAAGCCUUCCACUUCCCAAGCACCGAAUCUUUCUUCACACAAGUUGGAGAUAAAUGAGUCCUCUGUCUUCUUCAACCGGAAUCACUCAAUUCGGACAAGUUUCGUGGAAGUUACACUCUCCGGAAUGCGAAGUGGUCCAAACUGCUCUGAAUGCUGCGAGAUGGUCUUGCGACUUGGUUAACCCGCAGGCCUGAAGAUGAAUGCCUGAAAGCUGAUGCUGCGAGUUGAGAAGGGCGGGUAAGCUAUCACUGGAUGAGGUCUGAGGCUCCCGAGCAAGAAAAUUGCUAAGUCCACAAUCGUGCGACUUAGGCAUGCGAGCUGGCCGCGCCUGGAACCAAGCCGCACGAUCACUCGCAAUUUACUCCGAGUUGAGCCUGCGACCUGAGUACAAUGGAAACCAACCCGCAGAGUUUGUACACUCCCCAGAAACCGCCUUGGUCCUGCGAGUUGAAGAAGAAGAAGAUUAAGCCGCAGCAAAACUCGCAAAUCACUCCUACUUGGGCAUGCGGCUUGGGACAGACGAUUUAAGGCCACACAGACAGGGUCUUCAUCUACUGCGACUUGGGNNNNNNNNNNNNNNNNNNNNNNNNNNNNNNNNNNNNNNNNNNNNNNNNNNNNNNNNNNNNNNNNNNNNNNNNNNNNNNNNNNNNNNNNNNNNNNNNNNNNCCCUUUAAUCAAGAGAGUUUAAGAGAUUUUUGUGUUUAAAGCUGCUUUCUUCUUAAUCUAUCAUCUCCAUCUCCAUUUCUCAUCAUUAAUCAUGCUAAUCUUCUCAACUUGCAAAGGUUUAAGAGAGAUUAGUAUGAUUAGUGAGUAGUCACCUUAAUGAGGUUCUAGAUGUGUAGGUUAGGGUGCUAAAGUGUUAGAUUAGGAGUGCUUAGGGCUAGAUUCAUUAAUUCAUCUCUCUAAACAGCUGUUCUCUAUGCUAGAUCCUUGCACAUCACUUGAGAUCUAGAUUCUGGGAAUUUCAUGCACCAAAAGUGUUUGAUGAAAUUCCUGAAAGAGCUGUAUUAGAGGUUUAAGCAUUUCCUGCAUGAUGAUGUAUUGUUAAUUGCUUGAAUGAUCAUUAAGAACUGUUUAUUAAUGCAUAUUGAUUCAUAUUUCACAAAUGGGAAUUUGGUUUGAAAAUGGAUUAGUAUAAGGGUUGAUACCUUCAUGAGAGGAUUAACCUAGAUUAUAGUUCUUAAUCAUUUGAAUCAUGUCUCAUCAUUGUCAUUAGCAUUUCUAAUUUAGCACCAAGGCACCCUAACCAACUAUCAUGUCUAGAAUCUCAUGCCUCCAUCAUAUCAUAUUCCCAUCAUUUGUCAUUGUUUAGUUCUUGUUUAAUCAUUUCAUUAGUCUUUAAUCCUGUUUAGGUUUGUAGUUGUCUUUAGAAAAUCAAAACCACUCUUGUUUGCUUGAAUUAAGAACUUGAUCACAUAGUUUAGUGUCUAACACCACAUCUGGAUUGAUAAACCUCUUUGUGCUACUUUGACAAGGGGAUUGAUAACCUCUAUAAAGAGCCUUGAAAACUCUUAGUUAUCAGUUCUGCAACAGAAGAGUUUGAAGAAGAACUUUGGAGUGACGAAGAACCUGCUAGGCAAAGCAAGGAGAUGUCGAAAAAGACUUCUCUCAGGACAAGAUCUUCUUCAUUGGACUAAGCCACAUCCUACACCAAAUUCGAGCUAAACGACUUAAAACAGAAGCGCUUAAUGGGACGCAACGCAUUUAGGUAUUGUUUUCUUUGGGAUAUUUUUUCUUUUUCUAUUGAUCUUUUUCUUUUUCUUAGUUUCAGGUGUUUCUUAUAAAAUAAAAUAAAAAAACCAAAAAAAUAAAAAAACCAAAAAACCCAAAAAGAAGGAUGGUCCCUGACUGCUCGGCCCAGCAUGAACUAAGGAGAAUCAGGAACAGGCCGUAUUUAAGCCCUCGCGGUCGCAGGCGUUCUGACCGUGGGAGACACCACUUCGACCGCAGCCGCAUUUUUCUUACCGCGGCCGAGCACCAGUUUGCCGCGGUCGCGUGACCCCUGACCGCAGCAGAUGGUCGUUGAGAUGAUAUCCGGCCCCAAACCACCCACUUCACCUCAUUCCACCUCAUCAAGCCCCACUUCACCUCAUUCAUCACUUCCCACCACCUUCCAUCACCACCUAUCACCUUCCCAAACCUCUUCGAAUGAAUCCGGUCCAUCUCCACCAGCAUCCCGGAUCCAGGUAAGUUCUCUUUGGCCUUACCAAAUUCGAUUAUCUUUGCAUUUUUCUCAUCCAAUCUCGACUUGUUUCACACUGAGGACAGUGUGAUUUAAGUCUGGGGGAGGAUUUCAUCCCUUUCUAACCACUUUUCUUUCAUGAGUCUUGCAUUAUCUACACUUUCUGCAUUUUCCUUAAAGUUUUUCAAAAUUGAUUUUUAAAACAAAAUACAUUUUAAAGGGAAUGGUGAACAUGAAUCAAUGAUAGUUGAUUGUGUGCUUUUAGAAUGUUCCUCGUGACAUGCUCAUUCAUGAUUUAAGACUAGACUAGGCGGUAGCUAAGCACAUUUGAAACAAAGUACCCCAGAGGAAUUUGAAUGAUUUCGAUUUAGAUGAAGGAAUACACUAGCUCUGUUUUAUUUGGACUUAAUUCUCUCAUUGAAGCAUUAGACCAGGGAAACGAAUCAUACAUUCAGGACUCCUUUACCCUUUUUACCACUCUCUGCUGAUCUUGAAUGGCUAGUUCAUCUUUAGCUAGUUCCCCACCUUAACCAAUCCUCUUUCAAACCACAUGCACUCUUGUUUUCUAUUGUCUUAUAUGCAGAUAUGUGUAAAAACGUUAGAGAGAAAGAGGAACGAUGCAGUUUUCAGUCACCAAAGACAGAGACCUGCGAUUAGCCGGAAAACUUCCCGGAAGGAUUCAACACAUGAGGAAGCUUAGUUUUGCCUUUGAAAAUCUCAAAUUUUGGUACAAUCUCUUUCUCUAGUCUCUCUCUCUUUAAAAGGCAUCCCCUUUCCUAAAUAAAAGAAAUAAAAAAUCCAAAAAUAGGAAAAGAAAGGAGAUAAAAGCCUUAGCGAGUCUAGAGAGAUCAAAUUUUAAGUCCCAAGGCAACUGGAGUUCGAUUUUACGGAGUUUUGGAGAUCAUUUUCUGAUUCCCAGAAAGAAUCUAAGUCUGAGGGAAUAGUUGUUCACAACAAAGGAGAAAGGAUUAUGCAACAACAUUUGGCAAGAAGAAGUGACUGAAAAUUGCGGUCAUCAACAAGUCCUUAUCUCUCUUGCGGUUUUGCAUAUUAUCUUGCAUCCUCCAGAUUCAUCAGGUAACCCGAAACACUUUAACUCCACCACUUAAACAGCCCUUUAAUACCAAACGCCGUCUACCCUAGAUGAUGUCUUUAAUGAGAAUUACCUAUUGCACUUAAUGAAUGUAGAGAGCUAUUUGACUGGAAUCAAGAUUUAGAUUAUUUAAGUUUUGCAUGACGGAAAAAGUGGGCUAGUAUCUUUUGUGUCUUGGUGAGAAUUUUCUAGACUAAGUUGUGGAUUGAUGCACGAUCUUUGGUCCUAGUUUAGGAAUCCAUGUCUCUGAGAUUUGUGCAUUCCCUAUUCUUGUUUUCACUUAACCAGUUUAGACUUUUGCUUUGUUUGAGGACAAACAAAGAUUUAAGUCUGGGAGAGUUGAUAACACCGUAUUUUGACCACUUUUAUGGAUCGUUUUGAAAUACUUUUUCUAUGUUUUUUACUGCUUUCAAGUACUUUUAUUACGUUUUUCUAGUAUUUGUAGUUCCAAGACUCUUUUCAGGAAACUUAGGGUCAGAUUUUCAGCUCAGAGUCAAACCGUCAGAAGCUCACCCCCGAUUGAAGGCCUUCUCACCGUCUGAUCCAGCUCAAAUUUUGAGAUCUCAAAGAUGAAAGUAUCAUCUUUCCAGCACAGUUUACAUCUUGGCAAUCCAACGGUUCAAUCAAAAGAUACGCGAAGACCAACAUGUCCCGUAAACCAGCCAGCAAGCAUUUCCACCCGCAGCCAACAGCCAUUUCACCACGGUCAGAAGCUUCUCGUCCGCGGCCAGCCAACUCCAAACUCGAAGGCCCAUUUCUGAAGCCCAAAAUGAUUCCCUCAUUUGGAGAAACCCUAAGUGACGCCCAGAGAUAUUUUGAGCACUAUAAAUACAUGUUUUAGGAACCCUAAUUCGUAUCACCUCAUAUGCUCUCAUUGUUUUAGAAUACUUUUUAAGUUUUAGCUUUUAGGGAGUGAGAGAUUUGUCUCUUGAACCCUUGUUCUUUCUUUUUCAAUUUCGAUUAUUACUCUAAUUUUUAAUACUAUUUUUUUAAUUUCGUUCAUCAUGUCUGAGUAGUUUUAUUGUUGGGUCUAAGGGAUUUUCGAUGGGGAUACAUAUGUUCGAUGAGGAUUCCAUGAGCUAUUGAAGCCAAAUCUUAGAAAUUUUUCUUCUGAAUUUACUUUUACUGCAUGAGAGUAGCGUCAUGAACUACAAUCUGAUCCAGAUGCUUGGUGACACGAAAGUGUUCAUCCGGUGUCAGAUCUAGUUUGGGAGAGCAAAACAAACAUAGAGUGGAACCCUACCUAUGGGCGAUUUGUGAAUGUUGAUGAGUCUUGAACAUAAUGCAUUUCUUCUCUUCCAGGGCCAGAGUGGAAACCUACUGGUCAGGGUUGAGAGAGAUAAUUGUCUAUGAUCACGACAGUGGCGUAUUCAUACGUCCGUGACUCUAGUUCGAAAAUUUUAAGCUAAGAUCUUAUCAAAUUUACUCUCUAUCAAUGUUUUGAAUCGUUCAUACCCCAGAGAAAACUUCCCUGAAACCCAGUGCCCUCUUUUCUAUAGAUUUACACCGAUUUUAUUUCAAGCUUUAGUUCAUCAUUUUCAUUCUCUUAAUCGAUUUUCACUUAAGCAAUUAGGUUUAGGCGUUUUUUCUCGUUUUUAGUUGAUUUCAUUAAGUUUAGUUAUCAGGUCAUUUUAAUUCUCGUAUUUUCUCGUUAAGAUUAGUUUUUACGUUUUAAAGACACCACCAAAACCCAAUUAAAAUCGCUUGGUUCUAGACUUCCUUACUUUAUAUUCCUUUUGAAGGCUUUUGCAGGAAAGAUCCUCCUUCCUUGUGGAUUCGAUCCCUAAGUACUACAAUUGAUCAGCUGUGCACUUGUGGCUAUUGAUUUCAUUUAGGGUAAAACUUGACACCCUCACGACAGCAGACACAUCAAUUAUCCUCUAGAUAAAUCUUGUGCAUAUAAAGAGUGAAUAUCCUAAAGCUUUUGUAUGCUUUCUCAGUUCAGACAACAGCAGUGUGGUUUCUUCUUCUGUCAAACCAGAAUUUAUAAUGACAGGAUAAGUUGAAUUUGGUCCAAGGAAAGCGUACUUAAGUCCGACGGGAAGAGGCUUUAAGCUCGCUCCAAGGAUCAUUAAUUGCUGCGGCAGUGUCUUUAGGAGGUGUAGGAAUGUUUGUUUGGUCCUUAAGAUCUAGAUAGUUUAGAGGUUUCCUAUAAGUUUCGGAUUUAUCAAUCAUACGUGCACAUUCACUUGAAAUUUCUUCAAGGAAAUUGCGUUCGUCUUUUGUGGGUGAAAGCGUGACACUUAAAGGGUCGUCGGGAAGCAGAUCUUCAUAGACUUCCUCAAUAAUUCUGUCUAGCUCAUCAAUCCAACAAAUUUUGCCAUCCAAAGUCGGUUUAUCGAAACUUUUGUUCAUGUCAAUUACAUAACUAGACCGGCUAGAUGAAGGUCAACUUUUCCUUCAGGAACAUUGAUUAUGGCUCCAGUGUAGAUAGGAAUGGUUGUCCAAGAAUAAGAGGAUCCUUAGGUUCACUUUCUAGUUCUAGAACUACGAAAUCGGUUGGUAUGGAACAUCUAUUAAGAUACCUACGAGUUGUCUAACAGAACGAUCAGCUAAUACUAAAGAAAUUUUAGUAGGCUGGAAAGUGUGAUGUCCUAAACGUUUUGCUACUGAAAGAGGCAUCAUGUUUAUGCUCGAUCCUAAAUCACAGAGAGCACACUCAAAAGCCAUAUUGUUGAUAGUGCAUGAAAGUACGAAGUUUCCAGGAUCGUUUUUCUUUUCAGGGAUUCGGUUGCAGGAUAGAACUACAUUCAUGGGUUAUUAUCAUAAAGCCUUCUUCAAGAGUUAAAGAAUUUGUUAGAAUACCCUUCAUAUAUUUUCUUAAAGCGGGAAUCAUAGCACAAGCUUCUACAAAAGGUAAUCUCACAUUUAAUUGAUCGAUUAACUCCUUCAGCUUAGCUUUUUCUUUUUCUUUCUUAGGGGCUCUAAAGGCUCAAGGAUAUGGAGGUUUAGGUUUAUAGACACGAGUUGGUGGAGGUGGAAUCGGGUUUUCUCCGAGGAUUUCCCGCGAUGUAUUUUCUCUUACUUCUUCUCCAUCCUUCUCUCCUAUCACUUCUUUUUCAACAUCUUCAAUCGUGAUUCUUUCUCUUUCUUUUUCAUUUUCCUUACCCUUUUCCUCACCUUCAUGAUCUUUAGGAAAUCCAGCCUCUUUGUAAGCUAGACCACUCCUAAGUGUGAUGGCUUUCACAUGAUCGGAGGGGUCGGCUUCGCUUGAGCUUUCGAAAGAAUUUUCACUUGGCUCCUCUUCAGAAUUAUCUAUGUUCUUAGACUUAUUUUUGAUCAUUAGACAAUGGAGUUUGGAAAAUUUUUCAUUGAAAUCUUUCUGCAUCUCUUUCAUUUCGGAACUAAGAUCACUAAUUUCCUGACCUAGUUUUUUCAAGCUCUAUAAUUCUUUUGUUUAGGUUUUCAGCUUCAGAAGAGGGAAAACUAGGAUAGGUGAUUGGAUCAGAUUGAACAGCCAUGAUUGGUUCGGAAGACGGUUUACCGCGGUCGUAAAGCUCGUGACUGUGGCAAAAUGGGUCUUGGCCGCGGUCCGGUGAAACACAACCGUGGUGAAACCAUGGUUUCCCGCGAUCCAAAAGGAUGGACCCGCGGUGAUCAGGUACGAAGGGAAAAUCUUGAAUUUGAUAGACUUCUGCAGUGUUCAUCAUCUCUUGAUCAUAAGAAUCCAUUGGGUUGUUCCAAUCAUCAAAAUUACACGUAUUUUUUGUCUUGUUUGGUUGUUGCAAUCCAAGUUGACUCAUUAUGUGAUGGAGACACUUUAUGACUUCCGAAAUCUCUUCUUUCUUCUCAGGAAGUGCAGAAUUUCCAAACGUUGCUUGAUUACGGAUGCUGUUUGCAAGAUUGUUGAUGAAAACACGAGCAUCUUCUACAGAUCUAGUUAAGAAGUCUGCAUUACUUGCUGUGUCGAAAGAGUGUUGUAACUCUAGAUUUAUGUCUCAAUAGAAGAUACCCAUCAGGUAUUCAUCGGUAUAUCCGUGAUGUGGACAAUCUCUUUGGUAUUCCCUAAACCUCUCCCGAGUAUCUAAAAGAUCUUCAUCUUCUUUUUGUUUAAAGUUCGUAUCUUGUUCCUUAAGAGAUUGGAACGAUUUCUAGUGUAAAAACGAUUUAGGAAAGCCUUUCUACACGCUGUCCACGUUUUUAGUGAAGCAGGUUCUAAAGAUUUUAGCCAUUUGCUGGCAUUGUCUCUCAAAGAGAAUGGGAAAAUACUACACUUGUGGUAAUCCCCAUUUGCUGUAAUGGUUGCACAUAAUUCUUCGAACGUCACGAUAUGGUCCAUUGGGUGUUCGGAUGAAUAACCGUAGAAUUGAUUUUGUUGACCGAAGUGGAUAUAGGGUACCUUAAUUUCGGUUUUGUCAUCCUCUGGUAAGGCUGGUUAAAUAGCUCUUUGAUCUCCCAUGAACUUCUCGAGUGAAUCAAAAAUUUCAAUCAGUUCAUCAUCUUCAUGUUUUGCCGAUCCGAUUAGCUCAUUGUCAUCAUAGUUCGGUUCUUCAAACUCAUCAUCAGUCAGGUCAUUGUCGCUUGCAUCACCAUCCACACGAUAUGGUGGAUCACCAAGAGUCCCGAAAACAUGUUUCGGGUCUCCCAUUGUAGAGAAACCUGAAAAAAUUCAAAAGAAAAAGUAAAAGUAAACAAGUGUUCUAAUGGAUUUAAUCUGGGAUUCGCAACAAAACAAAUCAAAAGUCCCCGGCAACGGCGCCAAAAACUUGAUGCUGUUGUAAACGGGGUUUAAACGGGGUUGGUCGGUUUUACUAAGCUUCAGGUUUUAAAUUUAUAACCCCUAAAUGUCUGCAAGUGCACAGAUGUGCGCUGUAGUACUUAGGGUAUCGAUCCACUUAGACUUAGUUGUUUCAGUACGAAUUCACGCCAAUGCUUAAAUCAGAUUAGAACUAAACAGGUUUGGAUUUUGGUUUUGGGUUUUGGAAUAUUAAGUCAAGUCAAACUAGAAAUGGUUUUGGUGUGUAGACUACUUAAAAAGCAAGAAAAUGAACGAAGAUAAGAAUUUAAACUAAAGACAGAUGCAAAUAAGCAUAUAAGUAAGCAAGAGAGAUAAGCGGUUGUGAAUGGAAUGAUGAGGCAAAGGUCUUAAGUAGGAUAAUGAACUAGGGUGCUUUCCACACUAAACAGCAAGUUAAUGAACCAAUGAUCAAGCAGCUUCAUUUAACAUGAACUCAUUAAAUAGAAUAAUCCUCUCAUGAAGGCAUUAAACUUCUAUGCUAAUCCUCUUUCAAACCAAAAUCCCUUUUGAGAAGCAUGAAUCAGCAAACAUUAAAAAUCAGUUCAAUAAGUCAUUUAAGAGAACAAACUAUCAUUAUCAUGAAGAAAGACUCUUAAACCUCUAACAAACUUGGUUCAGACAUUUCUACAAACACUUUUGAUGCGAGAAUAUAUCUUUGAUCUAGACCACAUGUGAUGUUCAAGGAUCUAACAUAGAGAUCGGUUUGUUAGAGAAUGAAUGAUGCAGAUCUAGAACCUAAACUCGCUAAUCUAGCAUUUCAGCACCCUAAUCUACCUAUCUAAGACCUUAAUAGCGAAACUACUCACUAAUCAUGAAGAGCACACUUAAUCUUUUGCAAGAAGUGAUGCUAGACAUGAUUAGAAGCUUUAAAAUGAUGGAAAGAAAUUAAAAGAACAAGAUAUUUGAUUAAAAAACGAGAUAUCUGAUUAAAGAGACAAGUUUUCACCAAAGAGGCAAGUUCUCAAGGAUAAGAUAAGAGAUAAGUUAAGUAGGGUUUUAGUCCUUAAAACUAUAUAUAGUAAAGCUAAGUGAUGCGGGUCAGCCCGGAACAAACCGGGUACUGAACCGGUUUUGUUGGAUCGUUGGGUGGACACCUUGGUGAGUGAGAGACUGAAGCCGAGGGAUUGAUGUCAAGGGGCUCAGUAUUGCUGAGUCAAAUAUGAAGGAUUCACCAAGAACUCAUGAAGAACCCACCAAGAACCUGCAUGAACCCUAGUCUUUGAUUCAUCUUCUCGUGCACCCGUUAGAACGGCUUUGUUCUUGAUCUGGGUUUGUGGCAAGGGACCUCGGCAUAGAUACACCGUGGGGUCAGGUCGAGGUCUUGAUGCUUUCAUUCGACAACCUUGCACCAUGGUAUAGGCAAGCCGUGGACUUCGCUUGAGGCUUUGAGCACUUUGCUUUGGUGAGAUUCACCUCGGUGUGUGUACACCAAGAGGCUUUGGUCGAGGGGACAAGGAAGAUGGGGUCCAACGUGCAAUGCCGAGGGGUUGAAGCCGAGGUCUAGUUUCACACUUAGACAAAUCUCAAGCCAAGUCGCAUAGAUGCUCAGCUUCAACACUUAGUAAUUUUCAGCUCCAUUUCUUUAGCAUGUGUGCCUUGGUCUUGAUACACCGAGGGGUUAGCACGAGGUCUGGACCAAAAGUUCGGAGACUAGGCCUCGGCUUAGGCAAUGUCGAGGGAACGACACUGAUGCCUGCUAAAAUACUUAGAACAAAUCGCAACUGUUGAAGCUUGUAUCGACCCGCUUGUAUCCUGAUCGCAAUAACUUUCAGCACAUAACUCCAAACGACUUGAAACCAACUCCACAAGAAAGAUCACUCAUUCAUCUCAAACUUUUAUGCAGAAAACAUUGGCACUUAGGAAGUGGAAGGCUCCUCGGACCGCUCAUCUUUGCAUCGCAUUGGAAUGGUAAGAAAACAGCUCCUAGACCCGUGUUCACUCCGGUGACGAUAUCUCUCAAGCCACAUUUCCAAAUCGGAUGAUCUCAGGAUUUCUAGAAAGAAAACUCAAAGACCAUGAAUCUUGAUGAAGGCACCGGAGACUGAAUCGGACUGGAAAGGAAUCGUCCCAUGUAAUCUUUGAAGUUCAUUGGAUAGGCUUAAAAUGCAUGCGAGACAGGUGUGUCUAAAGGUGAACUUAAGUCUUUGCUCACUGCUUCGAAUUCAGUAAUUCCAACUGUUCUGGAACCCUGACUCGAUCAUCUCACUUGGAUGAAGAUCCCGACAACUGAUUCGGACCGGAAGCUCCGGAUUGGCAAUCUUUGAUGUGCGCUGGUGCAAACAGAUUUUAACCGAGAAAUCCUUCCCGCGGUAAGCUUUUUAGCUGAGAAAUAAUCACCGUCUCAGCAUAAAAUUUCACCCGAUAGCGUCUUCACCCAAUACUGACUUUGGUCGAGAGAAAUUCACCAGAUAGCAUUUUUGGCCGAGAAAACUGAUCCAUCCAGUACAUGUUUUUGCCAAGAAAUUCCUUUAAGCCAUUUUCACCAUUUUUGACCUUUUUCUUCACCGUUUCAACUCUGGAUCAAAUAUCUUCUGCUCCAAACAUCCUCAAAAGCACCUGAUAAAGACUCCAAACCAUGCAAAGACUCAUUGGGACCUAAUGCAAACCCUAAGGUCUAAAUCAAUGCUUAAGGACCUAAAUUGCAUGAGAUAAGACAUGAUUUGGACUCUAAAAUGCAAUAUAAAUGAUGCAAGUUGUGAACAUAUCACUAGGAAGGGAGAAAAAGGCAUUUUUGAUCUCUAGGGCCGAGAAAUCUUUCUCCAGGCUACCUCUCUGCACGGCUGAACAUUCAUAACCCAGGGAUGCGGUAAUGUCCUCUCUUCAGUUCUAACCAAAAUCUGCCACUUUCUGUUUGCCUCAAACUCCCGGUCCGCAUUACUAGGAGAGGAUCCGAAAACAGCUCACUCUGUAUCCUGAUUAGUGUUUCAUGUGCUGCCCCAGUUCUCUUUUCCAAGUUAGAGUAAUUAGAUUUGCAAAAGUUUAUAAUAGGAUUCUUAAGAGCCUUGAGCUUGUGAGAAACUCAGAACAUAGCAGAUCCCACCGUGUUAAGGGAAUACCAAUGAUAAAAAACCCAAAGAACAAAAUCAACAUUUUGGACUCAACAUUUUGGAGAAAGCAAUAAAGGACUUGAAAGGCUUCUUCAGCCACUACUGCAGUGGGUUCAGAACAAUACGUGCAGAAGAGUGGUCUGAGAAAUCUGGCUCACCAAAAAUGCCAUAUGCCAAGGGGAAUUGAAAAUCCCACAGGUCUUUUACAAGAAUCGUGUCAAGCUUCUUUGCACUUGGAAUCACCCUUAUCUUAUUCCACCAGGUAAAAGAACAUCCCCUGAACGUUAAAUCCGUAUCUGAAGCAUCAAGAAGGCAAUCUCUAAACUCCUGCGUUUGUUGAUAACACCAUAUUUUGAUCACUUUUAUGGAUUGAUUCAAAGUCUUAUGCAAAUAUUUUAACUCUGUUUUCAAAUAUUUUUAAGUGAUAUCCAUGUUUCAGAGUUUUAAAAUACUUUUUUGGAAACUUAGACUAAAGAAGUGCAAUUUGGAGCAAAUGAACAAUUUUGGAUAAAUUCAGACUAUCAGAAGUAUGGCAAGAGAUGAAUAUCUUCCCACCAUCCGAUCAUCCCCAAAAUUUGAGACAACAUAUAGUAGACUACCAGCUAUCUAAUGCAAUUGGUUUGGAGACAAUCCAACGGUUAGAUCUUCAGAUAUUCCCAAUGGAAAAAAGAUAUAUGAUGUAGUCCUAGAGCAGAGCUGAGGCCACGACCGCAGCUAGACAUGUUUUAUGGCCCGAGAGACCCAAAUAAAGCUCAAGUCAAUCCCGUCACUUAUUGAUGUGAUACUGAGCAGCACUACUUUCGCAGCACUAAACAACUAUCUCUCGCAACCCUGAUCAGUAGGUUUCCACUCUGAUCCUGGAAGUGAGUAGACUCAUCAACAUUCACAACUCAACUAUAGGUAGGUUUCCACUCCUAUGAAUCAUUGCUCGUUUCACCCUAUUUCAGACAAUCAAUGAAAGCUUUCGCAACAUAUCAUAUCAGAUCGGCUUCUAAGUGGCCAGCAAAGAAUCAUGCAGUAAAAUCAAAGGCAAACCAAGAAAAUAUAGAAAAUUAUAAAUCCUAAAUCUAUCAAUUCAUAGAAGAAGACACACAAAAUUCCCUUUGAAAAAUCCCUUUAAAUCCAACUGGGGAAACUACUGAAACAUAUUGUAACAAAGCAUCAUAGAAUAUUGAAAAUUGCAGGAAAUUAAAAAAAACAGGGAAGAAGAAUGAAGAACGGAAUCGCAGAUGGAGGCGCGAUGAUGCUCUCCUCGACAGCUCCUCCUUCAAAGGCGGCGGCCUCCUAGGGUUUCUCACACGAAAAUCUCUAUCUCUCUCUCUAAGUUUGUCUCUCUUUCGAUCCUCUCCCUUUAGAAUGACUUAAAGAGGGUAUUUAUAGCUUUUGGAGUUGUCCUGGACACUUAGGGCUUCAAAAAUAAUAAAGGGAAUCGACUUGGGCUUUAAUUAGGUCGUCUGGGAAGUGAACAACUACUGGCCGCGGUUGCGGUGCUUCACCCGCAGGGAAAUGAGGCUUCACCGCGGUCCCGGCUGAAGCUCUCUUCCGGAACUGCAUUUUCUGUCUUUAUUGCAUCUGGUGUAUUUGAAGAUCUAACCGUUGGAUUGUCUCCAAACCCAGUGCACUAGAAAGCUGGUUGUAUCCUCUAUGUUGUCACAAAUUUUGGGGCGGGGGGGGGGGGUGAUCAGACGUGAGAAGAUCUUCAUCGCUUGCCAUACUUCUGACGGUCUGCAUUUAUCCAAAAUUGCUCAUUUGUUCCAAUUUGCAUAUCUUUUGCCCAAGUUUCCUGAAAAGUCUUUUGAAACUCUAAAACAUUGAAAACAGAGUUAAAACACUUGCAUAAGACAUUAUUAUGAUCCAUAAAAGUGGUCAAAAUACAGUAUUAUCAACUCCCCCAGACUUACCUUUUUAUUUGUCAUCAAACAAACUCAUAUCAAGUCAGGAAAGACUUUUAAAAAUCACAGGAACUAAACAAUAUCUCAGUGACCGUCCUUCUAAACCAUAACUUGUCAUGAAACAUCUAUUUGGAUCUAAUCUAGGAAAUUCUCACCAAAACACAAGAAAAACUAGUCUGUUAAUCCGUCAUGCGAAAAUCUACACACUUAGAUCUAACUUCCAGUCAAUUAGCUCUUUACAUUCAUUAAGUGUAAUAGUGAAUUCUCAUCAAAGUCAUUAUUCAGGGUAGACGCCAUUUGGCAUUAAGGGCUAUUUAGGUGGUGGAGUUAAGUGUUUCCGGUUAUCUGAAUAAUCUGGAGGAUGCAAGAUAUUAUGCAAAACUGCAUGAGAGAGAUGGACCUGUUGGUGACCACAGAUUUUCAGUCACUUCUCCUUUGCCAAAUGUUGUUGCAUAAUCUUCCUCCUUUGUU